GGGCACAUAGUGGAGUCGGUAAUCACGCCUGCUCAUCAUGCAGCAGGGAUUGCGCGGGCAGCCACUGGUUCAACUCCGGGCGUGUCCA
Molecule: non-coding RNA, 88 nt
Organism: Sphagnurus paluster
Lineage: Eukaryota; Fungi; Basidiomycota; Agaricomycetes; Agaricales; Lyophyllaceae
Source: the annotation of a GenBank genome assembly